ACGGGAGGCAGCAGUGAGGAAUAUUGGUCAAUGGAGGCAACUCUGAACCAGCCAUCUCGCGUGAAGGAAUACGGCCCUAUGGGUCUUAAACUUCUUUUAUAGGGGGAUAAAGUGAGAUACGCGUAUCUUUUUGUAGGUACCCUAUGAAUAAGCAUCGGCUAACUCCGUGCCAGCAGCCGCGGUAAUACGGAGGAUGCGAGCGUUAUCCGGAUUUAUUGGGUUUAAAGGGUGCGUAGGCUGUGCAUCAAGUCAGCGGUGAAAGCCCGGGGCCUAACUCCGGAACUGCCGUUGAUACUGAUGUGCUGGAAUACGGAUGCCGUGGGAGGAAUGAGUAGUGUAGCGGUGAAAUGCAUAGAUAUUACUCAGAACACCGAUUGCGAAGGCAUCUCACGAAUCCGUUAUUGACGCUGAGGCACGAAAGCGUGGGGAUCAAACAGGAUUAGAUACCCUGGUA
Molecule: ribosomal RNA, 454 nt
Filed under: uncultured Parabacteroides sp.
Lineage: Bacteria; Pseudomonadati; Bacteroidota; Bacteroidia; Bacteroidales; Tannerellaceae
Description: partial 16S ribosomal RNA
Rfam family: Bacterial small subunit ribosomal RNA
Source: RNAcentral